GAGUUUGAUCCUGGCUCAGAUUGAACGCUGGCGGUAUGCUUAACACAUGCAAGUCGAACGGUAACAGGCCUUCGGGCGCUGACGAGUGGCGGACGGGUGAGUAACGCGUAGGAAUCUGCCUCAUAGUGGGGGACAACGUGGGGAAACUCACGCUAAUACCGCAUACGCCCUACGGGGGAAAGGAGGGGAUCUUCGGACCUUUCGCUAUGAGAUGAGCCUGCGUUAGAUUAGCUAGUUGGUAGGGUAAAGGCCUACCAAGGCGACGAUCUAUAGCUGGUCUGAGAGGACGAUCAGCCACACUGGGACUGAGACACGGCCCAGACUCCUACGGGAGGCAGCAGUGGGGAAUAUUGGACAAUGGGCGAAAGCCUGAUCCAGCAAUACCGCGUGUGUGAAGAAGGCCUUAGGGUUGUAAAGCACUUUCAAUUGGGAGGAAAACCUGCCGGCCAAUACCCGGUAGCUUGACAUUACCUUUAGAAGAAGCACCGGCUAACUCCGUGCCAGCAGCCGCGGUAAUACGGAGGGUGCGAGCGUUAAUCGGAAUUACUGGGCGUAAAGCGUGCGUAGGCGGUUCGUUAAGUCAGAUGUGAAAGCCCUGGGCUCAACCUGGGAACUGCAUUUGAAACUGGCGGACUAGAGUUUAGUAGAGGGGAGUGGAAUUUCAGGUGUAGCGGUGAAAUGCGUAGAUAUCUGAAGGAACACCAGUGGCGAAGGCGACUCCCUGGACUAGAACUGACGCUGAGUACGAAAGCGUGGGUAGCAAACAGGAUUAGAUACCCUGGUAGUCCACGCCGUAAACGAUGUCGACUAGCCGUUGGCCCUAUUUACAGGAUUAGUGGCGCAG
RNAcentral lists this ribosomal RNA (844 nucleotides) under uncultured bacterium. RNAcentral describes it as "bacterial SSU rRNA". It matches the Rfam family "Bacterial small subunit ribosomal RNA", at positions 9 to 851 of the family's 1533-position model. The record is from RNAcentral.